UUUAAAUAUGAACUAGUAUCGUGGAGGCUGUGGGGAGAGAUGGAGAAAGUGCAGGAGGCGGAGAUGACUGGCCAUCUGGAGAAUUUCUUAACCAUGGAUACGGAAAGCAAAUGACCAAAUCAUCAACACUGACCUGGAACAGUUGUCCCUGAGGAAAAGAUAACUGUAAGGCGAACAUAUAUUCUGGCAUCCAGGUAAGUC
Molecule: long non-coding RNA, 201 nt
Filed under: Fukomys damarensis (Damara mole-rat)
Lineage: Eukaryota; Metazoa; Chordata; Mammalia; Rodentia; Bathyergidae
Description: lncRNA (ENSFDAG00000026881.1)
Source: RNAcentral